This 989-nucleotide ribosomal RNA is filed under the name Ophiacantha cosmica. Its description in RNAcentral is "partial large subunit ribosomal RNA". It matches the Rfam family "Eukaryotic large subunit ribosomal RNA", at positions 78 to 810 of the family's 3401-position model. Lineage: Eukaryota; Metazoa; Echinodermata; Ophiuroidea; Amphilepidida; Ophiacanthidae. The record is from RNAcentral.
CCUCAGUAGCGGCGAGUGAAGCGGGAAGAGCCCAUCGCCGAAUCCCCGCGUCCCAGUGGCGUGCGGGAAAUGUGGCGUAAGGAAGCUGUGGCUAACCGGGGACGUGGAGCCGACGUCCUUGUGAAGGAGGCUUUCAUCCCAUAGAGUGUGUUAGGCCCUUCAGGCGCCCGUCGCCGGUGGCCUUAAGCUUCCAAGAGUCGGGUUGUUUUGGAAUGCAGCCCAAAGACGGAUGGUAAACUCCACCCAAGGCUAAAUACUGGCACGAGACCGAUAGAACACAAGUACCAUGAGGGAAAGUUGAAAAGAACUUUGAAGAGAGAGUUCAAUAGGACGUGAAGCUGCCGAGAAGUAAACGGAAAGGCCCCGCACACCGUGGCCGGGUGAUUCAGCGCAGGGUGAGGUUUCGGCGCCCCGUACCGUCUGCGGAUUCCCCUCGGGAACCCUGGCGGGACGGGUCGAAGCAGCCGCCCGUCGCGCGCAUUUCUCCCGUGCCUCUGGGGUUGACGACCGACCGUUGACUGGCCCAUUGAACGCGGCGAAGGCAGGUAGCUCACUUGGCCCUCGGGCCUCGAGAGAACUUACAGUCUCGYCGUUUGCAUGGGUCGCAAGGUCGAGGAAAGUGGACACCGUUUCUGCGCCUGCCCGUCCCUCGGGACUUGUGGCUGGAGCCGCCGGACUCCCGCUCGUACGGCGUACGGGGACUGCUCUCAGUGCCCGCUCGCUCGUGCGGUCGAGAAAGGCCGGAUCGCCUCUCAGGCGCACGGGGUCUGUCAACUUGGCCGGGCGCCUUUUCGACCCGUCUUGAAACACGGACCAAGAAGUCUAACGGACACGCAAGUCGAAGGGCCGCACACGAAGCCCGGAGGCGAAAUGAAAGUAAAGGUCGGCGUAGGUCGGCCAAGGUGGGAUCCCUGCCCUUCUGGGUGGGGCGCACCACCGCCCCGUCUCGUCCGUUUUACUCGGUGAGGCGGAGGAAGAGCGUGCACGCU